ACGUAGGGGGCAAGCGUUAUCCGGAUUUACUGGGUGUAAAGGGAGCGCAGACGGCACUGCAAGUCUGGAGUGAAAGCCCGGGGCUCAACCCCGGGACUGCUUUGGAAACUGUAGAGCUAGAGUGCUGGAGAGGCAAGCGGAAUUCCUAGUGUAGCGGUGAAAUGCGUAGAUAUUAGGAAGAACACCAGUGGCGAAGGCGGCUUGCUGGACAGUAACUGACGUUCAGGCUCGAAAGCGUGGGGAGCAAACAG
This 251-nucleotide ribosomal RNA is filed under the name uncultured bacterium. RNAcentral's name for it is "partial 16S ribosomal RNA". It matches the Rfam family "Bacterial small subunit ribosomal RNA", at positions 525 to 775 of the family's 1533-position model. The record is from RNAcentral.